RNAcentral lists this ribosomal RNA (497 nucleotides) under uncultured bacterium. Its description in RNAcentral is "partial 16S ribosomal RNA". It matches the Rfam family "Bacterial small subunit ribosomal RNA", at positions 28 to 507 of the family's 1533-position model. The record is from RNAcentral.
GAUGAACGCUGGCGGCGUGCCUAAUACAUGCAAGUCGAGCGAACAGAUGAGGAGCUUGCUCCUCUGACGUUAGCGGCGGACGGGUGAGUAACACGUGGAUAACCUACCUAUAAGACUGGGAUAACUUCGGGAAACCGGAGCUAAUACCGGAUAAUAUAUUGAACCGCAUGGUUCAAUAGUGAAAGACGGUUUUGCUGUCACUUAUAGAUGGAUCCGCGCCGCAUUAGCUAGUUGGUAAGGUAACGGCUUACCAAGGCAACGAUGCGUAGCCGACCUGAGAGGGUGAUCGGCCACACUGGAACUGAGACACGGUCCAGACUCCUACGGGAGGCAGCAGUAGGGAAUCUUCCGCAAUGGGCGAAAGCCUGACGGAGCAACGCCGCGUGAGUGAUGAAGGUCUUCGGAUCGUAAAGCUCUGUUAUUAGGGAAGAACAAAUGUGUAAGUAACUAUGCACGUCUUGACGGUACCUAAUCAGAAAGCCACGGCUAACUACGUA